Molecule: small nuclear RNA, 98 nt
Organism: Cercocebus atys (sooty mangabey)
Lineage: Eukaryota; Metazoa; Chordata; Mammalia; Primates; Cercopithecidae
Source: Ensembl
GUACAAUGAGCACGUAUGCUAAAGUUGGAAUGAUUCAGCGAUUAGCAUGGGCCCUGCACAAGGAUGACACACAAAUUCAUGAAGCAUUCCAUUAAAAA